GAGCGUGGGUGGGGGGAGGGCGCGUCACGUGCUGGGGAGGCCUCUGACGUAUAACGACGAGGAGAACAACACUAAUAAGAAGAGCAGCGGGGACCCGGAGCAGGCCCCCUGCCUAUUUCACAGAUGCGAAGACUGAGGUUUGGAGGGGGACCUGUGGAAAUGAGCAGCAUCCGGCACAGUCUCCCGAAUUUCUCUCCACCCCCACCCCGCGGCAGGACCCCCCCUCCCCGCCGGAGAUUCCCCGAAAUGCCAGGUCCCUCUGGCGGGGUCACAGCCGCGAUCGCGCAAACGCUGCCGGGCAGCUGGGGGAGUCCCCCCGGGCCAGCACACGUCCUUUCCCGAAGGUGACUCUGGGUGCUUUGGCAAUACUGAGCACGUGGACAGAAAUGGGGGCGUUUCCUCCCGGCCCGUGGCCGACCUCUGUGCAGACCUCCACCUUCGGCUUCCCUGCCUCGCCCACACUGAACCCUGCCGUCAUGAGAGUCGGCUCUUUGACAUCAGUUACAAAAUGCUAAUCCCGGCGGCCCCAGUCCCCAGUCUGUGGCGAUCUCGGAAGCCCUGCCUUCCGGAGCCGGGCUCCUCCGUGCCCCAGGUGCUGUUUUUCAACCCAAAUCUUCUGACCAGGAAUGAGACUACUUUCAAAAAAAGAUGCCAACAGUCAUGUUGAGUUUGAGAUGCCUACGGGACAUCCAAUUCAAAAUGUCCAAUAGGCAAUUGAUGAUGUGGGACUGAAGCUCCAGGGAGAAAAUAAUGCUGGAUGUGUAGAUCUGGGAGUCAUCUGUGUAGAGAUCAUGAAGAACCCUGUGGCCCCAGUCACAAGUCGUUUUGUCUAAAUGGGGGGAUUUGUUAUGUGAUACCCACUAUUCCCAGCCCAUUUUGUAGUAUGGCCAAUUCCACAAGGAUUUAUUAGAGAGGCUCAAUGAAAUGCUUCGGCCUCAGGAAGACAGGGGACUUCUUCAGGGAUGUAUUGAGAAUUAUACAGGAGCCCGGUGUGAAGAGGUCUACCUUCCCAGCACCAAGACCCAAAGUGAGAGUGAGCCGUUUGCAGCUUUGUUGACCGUAGCCCUGCUCCUGGGAGUACUGACCCUCGGAGCUGUCUACUUCCUUUGCAGGCCCCCUCCAAAGGGCUAAUUCAGCCCAGUAUGACGUUGGCCUGGUAGAGACCAGCAGCAUCAACAUCUACAACAAACAUGGAGAAAACUGAAGAAGCACCAGCCAAGUGAACCAAGAUAUUACAUCCAAGCUGCAGGGGAAAUAAAGGAAGCCACAGAAGGGGUUUCAUCAAGGCAGAUCCUGAGCCAAUCUGCAAGUGCUUCAAAAACAAGAGCUGACUGCAUCUAGUCUUCUGCUUUUCUUCAAGUGUUUGUGGCCACAUGUAUCCAUCUGUAAAAAUGACAAUUCACUGCAACAUUUUGGCCAAGGACAUCUGGUGGACACCCAAACCCACAAAAAUUCAGUUUUAUCCUUCUGGAAGUUUUCUUCAGGUUUCCCGCCACCUUGCCCUCAGCAUCGGUCAUAACUUGCUUUCUGUGCUGGAUCCCUUUUCAUUAUGCUGGAUGGCCUAAAUUCAGAUUUCUGAUCUCACUGCAAGUUCAAGCUGAGACUCAAAAGGAUUGGGAGAAAGGGAAGACUCCCAUCUGUUAAGAGUCUCUCAGAGGGCUUGGUCUUUGGGGGAGGGGAGUAAUGGUAGAAAAUUCCCAUUUGCCUAAUAACUCAUUUCUCCAGUUCAUUGUUUCCAUAUCAUUUUCUUUAGUGCAGCUCCUGGAAACAGGAUAUACCUGUAGCCCCGUUUGACAGAGGGCUCAACGCUGACUUGUCUAAGAUCAUGUCCAGUAAAUGACAAAGCAAGGACUCUAACCUCUUUUCUGAUUCCGAGUUCAGGGCUCUGACUGCUCCCUGAUAGGGCUUUGGAUGAUGGUAUUAUGGAGGUCCUGUCAACGAGGCUAUGGUGUAAACAGGUCAUGAAAAACAAUUCAACCAAGUAGCCUUUGGGAAGAAAACCCUCAUGUGAAAAAGUAGCUGAAUGGAUCAGUCUUAAGUAACCAACAGCCCAACAGAACAGCUGUUGCACCGUGGGAGCUGAGGCUUCACUCCUGCAAAAAGUAUUCAGUGAUGUCCUCGCUUUGCCUUCUUCACAUGCUCUAGCCAUGGGUACGAUGCCAUUUUGGCUUCUGAUUUUGAAAGCGACAUAGGCUUGGGCUAAACCUAAGCCCAAGGUUCCUGGAGACCUUCCAAACCCACCUCAUUUGACAGAUGGGGCCAAAAAAACCAGUUCAUUCAUUUUGGCCAGGUUCAAAAUGAGGCAGAGGGGAUAACUAUGACUAAUAUGAGUCACACGGAGCUGACUCUCAAGCUCUCUAAUCUGGAGUCCAGGGCUCUUGUCACCUCCUCUGUCUUCGCUAUUUGUCUGUAAUUCCUUAACAUGUAGACUCUUGUGAUAAGUGGUGUCUUAUUUUUUAGCUGAGACCAUAGUAGUUAUUCCUUUAUUGGUGGGCUUAUCUAAACCAAUCCUAGCUUAAAACCAAAUGUUACAUAACCACUUGACUCCAGGGAAAAUAUUCUCUCAGAAGCAGAUGGACAAUGAGAACAUUCUCCAGAAAGCUCAUUUUCUUUAACAAUCCUUUUGGCCUUGAGAUAAGAUUGUAAACGUAAGAUUUUUGAUCUCAGAUGGAAAAGAAUCCUCUGAAUAAUCCUACUGGAACAGCAGAAUGAAGAUCCCUUGGGAAAUACCCCAAAAUUUUCUUAUGUGCUGAUUUGUAUAAAUAUAAUGACUAAUUCAA
RNA transcript from Antechinus flavipes (yellow-footed antechinus), 2780 nucleotides. It is a transcript of the gene named neuregulin 4, with no coding region annotated. The record is from RefSeq and is a predicted model, not a curated record. Lineage: Eukaryota; Metazoa; Chordata; Mammalia; Dasyuromorphia; Dasyuridae. The transcript has 10 exons.